RNAcentral lists this ribosomal RNA (630 nucleotides) under Triticum aestivum (bread wheat). Its description in RNAcentral is "partial small subunit ribosomal RNA". Lineage: Eukaryota; Viridiplantae; Streptophyta; Magnoliopsida; Poales; Poaceae. The record is from RNAcentral.
AUGGAUACUAGUGUUCAAGAUUCUGUUUUGCAUUGUGAUGAUUCUUCUGUGGAUGAACCAGAGCUACAGUUAGUUACCUUUGAUAUCGAGGAGUCACCUCUGGUUGAUAUAGAUCAUGUGCUUCCUGAACCAGACAUGGAGAAGUUCACCUUUGAUGACAUUAGUCACAUUGAUUCCUCAACACUUGAGCCUGAGAUGGAAACCUUCAUUGUUGAUUAUCAUGAGGUUGCUCUAGAUGUCAAGAAGCCAAGCUCUAAUAUUUCACUUGUUGACACGAGUCCGGUGGAAGUUUCUACUACCAUGCCUUCCAUAGUAUCUUCCACUAAAGUAGUCCUAAAACUUAUCUCAUAUCAUCCUAGGUAUUAUCUCAGCUUUCUCGACAAGUUAUGUCAUAUUGUUGAUAUUACCUAUGCACCAUAUGAAUUGAUGAUACCUGUGUAUGAUAUGCUCAAUAGAUAUGCUUAUGUGGUAGGAUACUCUAUUGAUGACUUAGAGGGCGUUGUCCCUAUCUAUUGUAUUGGCUUGUUUGUUGAGUGUUCUUUCAGGUUUUUGCUUGUGCACGAUCCACUACAUGUUGACCAGGUUCGAGGUGAUAUUCCUUGGGACCCCGGUGGAUUCAGAGCAUGGUGA